AGGUUUCCGUAGGUGAACCUGCGGAAGGAUCAUUGUCGAGACCGAAACUAUAUCGAGCGAUUCGGAGAACCUGUGAAAUAAGCGGCGGCGGCAGUCGCCGCGAGACAGCCGUCCCCGCCGUCGCCCCCCUUGUCUGGAGGGGGCCGCGGCGGGGGACGGCUGAAACCCCAAACCGGCGCAGAUUGGCGCCAAGGUAACUAUCGAAAAGCACGAGCCCGGCAUCGGGUCUUCGUGGGGCGGAGCGGUGUUGCGCACCGCACGUAUUGACACGACUCUCGACAAUGGAUAUCUCGGCUCUCGCAUCGAUGAAGAGCGCAGCGAAAUGCGAUACGUGGUGCGAAUUGCAGAAUCCCGCGAACCAUCGAGUCUUUGAACGCAAGUUGCGCCCGAGGCCAAUCGGUCGAGGGCACGUCCGCCUGGGCGUCAACCGUCGCGUCGCUCCUUGCCAAGUCCCCACCGUCCCCACCGCAGUGGGGGGUGCCGGGCGAGGCUCGGAUGUGCAGAGUGGCCCGUCGUGCCCAUCGGCGCGGCGGGCUGAAGAGCGGGUUAUCUUCUCAUUGGCCACGAACAACGAGGGGUGGAUGAAAGCUGCCGCGGGCAAGGCCCGCGUUGUCUCGUGCCGGCCCGAGUGAAGGUCACACCCUUCGUGCGAUCCCAUCCCACGCGCCGCCCCCGUGCGGCGGCUUGGAAC
RNAcentral lists this ribosomal RNA (691 nucleotides) under Holcoglossum amesianum. RNAcentral's name for it is "eukaryotic LSU rRNA". The stretch from base 271 to 426 matches the Rfam family "5.8S ribosomal RNA". The record is from RNAcentral. Lineage: Eukaryota; Viridiplantae; Streptophyta; Magnoliopsida; Asparagales; Orchidaceae.